GGUGCCUAAUACAUGCAAGUCGAACGAACUCUGGUAUUGAUUGGUGCUUGCAUCAUGAUUUACAUUUGAGUGAGUGGCGAACUGGUGAGUAACACGUGGGAAACCUGCCCAGAAGCGGGGGAUAACACCUGGAAACAGAUGCUAAUACCGCAUAACAACUUGGACCGCAUGGUCCGAGCUUGAAAGAUGGCUUCGGCUAUCACUUUUGGAUGGUCCCGCGGCGUAUUAGCUAGAUGGUGGGGUAACGGCUCACCAUGGCAAUGAUACGUAGCCGACCUGAGAGGGUAAUCGGCCACAUUGGGACUGAGACACGGCCCAAACUCCUACGGGAGGCAGCAGUAGGGAAUCUUCCACAAUGGACGAAAGUCUGAUGGAGCAACGCCGCGUGAGUGAAGAAGGGUUUCGGCUCGUAAAACUCUGUUGUUAAAGAAGAACAUAUCUGAGAGUAACUGUUCAGGUAUUGACGGUAUUUAACCAGAAAGCCACGGCUAACUACGUGCCAGCAGCCGCGGUAAUACGUAGGUGGCAAGCGUUGUCCGGAUUUAUUGGGCGUAAAGCGAGCGCAGGCGGUUUUUUAAGUCUGAUGUGAAAGCCUUCGGCUCAACCGAAGAAGUGCAUCGGAAACUGGGAAACUUGAGUGCAGAAGAGGACAGUGGAACUCCAUGUGUAGCGGUGAAAUGCGUAGAUAUAUGGAAGAACACCAGUGGCGAAGGCGGCUGUCUGGUCUGUAACUGACGCUGAGGCUCGAAAGUAUGGGUAGCAAACAGGAUUAGAUACCCUGGUAGUCCAUACCGUAAACGAUGAAUGCUAAGUGUUGGAGGGUUUCCGCCCUUCAGUGCUGCAGCUAACGCAUUAAGCAUUCCGCCUGGGGAGUACGGCCGCAAGGCUGAAACUCAAAGGAAUUGACGGGGGCCCGCACAAGCGGUGGAGCAUGUGGUUUAAUUCGAAGCUACGCGAAGAACCUUACCAGGUCUUGACAUACUAUGCAAAUCUAAGAGAUUAGACGUUCCCUUCGGGGACAUGGAUACAGGUGGUGCAUGGUUGUCGUCAGCUCGUGUCGUGAGAUGUUGGGUUAAGUCCCGCAACGAGCGCAACCCUUAUUAUCAGUUGCCAGCAUUAAGUUGGGCACUCUGGUGAGACUGCCGGUGACAAACCGGAGGAAGGUGGGGAUGACGUCAAAUCAUCAUGCCCCUUAUGACCUGGGCUACACACGUGCUACAAUGGAUGGUACAACGAGUUGCGAACUCGCGAGAGUAAGCUAAUCUCUUAAAGCCAUUCUCAGUUCGGAUUGUAGGCUGCAACUCGCCUACAUGAAGUCGGAAUCGCUAGUAAUCGCGGAUCAGCAUGCCGCGGUGAAA
This 1358-nucleotide ribosomal RNA is filed under the name Lactiplantibacillus plantarum. RNAcentral describes it as "bacterial SSU rRNA". It matches the Rfam family "Bacterial small subunit ribosomal RNA", at positions 43 to 1367 of the family's 1533-position model. Lineage: Bacteria; Bacillati; Bacillota; Bacilli; Lactobacillales; Lactobacillaceae. The record is from RNAcentral.